AUUGAACGCUGGCGGCAGGCCUAACACAUGCAAGUCGAGCGGAUGAGUGGAGCUUGCUCCAUGAUUCAGCGGCGGACGGGUGAGUAAUGCCUAGGAAUCUGCCUGGUAGCGGGGGACAACGUUUCGAAAGGAACGCUAAUACCGCAUACGUCCUACGGGAGAAAGUGGGGGAUCUUCGGACCUCACGCUAUCAGAUGAGCCUAGGUCGGAUUAGCUAGUUGGUGAGGUAAAGGCUCACCAAGGCGACGAUCCGUAACUGGUCUGAGAGGAUGAUCAGUCACACUGGAACUGAGACACGGUCCAGACUCCUACGGGAGGCAGCAGUGGGGAAUAUUGGACAAUGGGCGAAAGCCUGAUCCAGCCAUGCCGCGUGUGUGAAGAAGGUCUUCGGAUUGUAAAGCACUUUAAGUUGGGAGGAAGGGCAGUAAGUUAAUACCUUGCUGUUUUGACGUUACCAACAGAAUAAGCACCGGCUAACUUCGUG
RNAcentral lists this ribosomal RNA (484 nucleotides) under uncultured bacterium. RNAcentral's name for it is "partial 16S ribosomal RNA". It matches the Rfam family "Bacterial small subunit ribosomal RNA", at positions 30 to 507 of the family's 1533-position model. The record is from RNAcentral.